UACAGAGGGGGCAAGCGUUGUUCGGAAUUACUGGGCGUAAAGGGCGCGUAGGUGGCCAACUAAGUCAGACGUGAAAUCCCUCGGCUUAACCGGGGAACUGCGUCUGAUACUGGAUGGCUUGAGUUUGGGAGAGGGACGCGGAAUUCCAGGUGUAGCGGUGAAAUGCGUAGAUAUCUGGAGGAACACCGGUGGCGAAGGCGGCGUCCUGGACCAACACUGACACUGAGGAGCGAAAGCCAGGGGAGCAAACGGG
This 253-nucleotide ribosomal RNA is filed under the name uncultured bacterium. RNAcentral describes it as "partial 16S ribosomal RNA". It matches the Rfam family "Bacterial small subunit ribosomal RNA", at positions 524 to 776 of the family's 1533-position model. The record is from RNAcentral.